GGUGCUGGGGGAUCUGGUCGAUGAGACAAUAGAGAACCCCUGGACAGAAAUACAGAAGACCUGUAAGGCCGUUUGCACCAAAGUCCUGGGGAAGAAGAAGAGGGAGCAGAAAGAUGGGAUGACAAAAGAGACAUGGGAGAAGAUAGAGAAGAGAAAGGAGGUGAAGCAAAAAAAUUAACAGAUGUCAAGACCAACAUGAGAAAACAGACCUCAGAGCCCAAUAUUGGGAAGUGAACCGAGAAGUGAAGAAGAGUGCCAGACGGGACAAAAGACAAUUUGUGCACAGUAUGACAGAAGAGGCAGAAACAGCAGCUAAGCAGAACAACAUGAGGCACUUUAUACCGACGACCUGAUGGAAGCAGUUGAAAAUCAUUAAAGAGAGGGUGAUCUGAACACAACAUGACAGAGGUUGCCUUCCUCAGCACCUGCCUGUUACAGAAGUCCACAAGCUGGACCUGAGACCUCCCUGAAAUCUGACUAGCCACUUUAACCAGGUUACUAAGUCUGGUCUUAUUAUUCAAAGAAAUAUUACCAUACCAAGCAAUGAUACAGAAGGUUAAAACAGAUUCAAUAAAACUUUUAUAAAAAAGAGUCAUCAUUUCAGAUGAAACAUUAAAACCUCUCAACCUCCUUAAAAAGUACA
Molecule: long non-coding RNA, 643 nt
Organism: Oreochromis aureus
Lineage: Eukaryota; Metazoa; Chordata; Actinopteri; Cichliformes; Cichlidae
Exons: 2
Source: RefSeq, a predicted model, not a curated record